GUCGGUAUCGAUUAGGGGUUAAAUCACCUCGUUGUGGAGCUUAGUACCAGACCGAGGAGCCGCCAGUUCGAUUCCGGCUACCGACA
This is a non-coding RNA of Hypholoma sublateritium FD-334 SS-4, 86 nucleotides long. The record is from the annotation of a GenBank genome assembly. Lineage: Eukaryota; Fungi; Basidiomycota; Agaricomycetes; Agaricales; Strophariaceae.